Schistosoma rodhaini is the source of this 119-nucleotide non-coding RNA. The record is from Rfam. Lineage: Eukaryota; Metazoa; Platyhelminthes; Trematoda; Strigeidida; Schistosomatidae.
GGCGGCGACUAUACCACGUUGAAAGCAUCGGUUCUUGUUCUAUCAUCGCAGUUAAGCAAUGUUGGGCCCGGUCAGUACUUAGAUGGGUGAUCUGCUGGAGAUACCGGGUGUAGCCAGCU